This 253-nucleotide unclassified non-coding RNA is filed under the name uncultured Rhodobacterales bacterium. RNAcentral describes it as "contains 16S-23S intergenic spacer region". It matches the Rfam family "Bacterial small subunit ribosomal RNA", at positions 524 to 776 of the family's 1533-position model. Lineage: Bacteria; Pseudomonadati; Pseudomonadota; Alphaproteobacteria; Rhodobacterales. The record is from RNAcentral.
UACGAAGGGGGCUAGCGUUGCUCGGAAUUACUGGGCGUAAAGCGCGCGUAGGCGGAUUAGCCAGUCAGAGGUGAAAUCCCAGGGCUCAACCCUGGAACUGCCUUUGAUACUGCUAGUCUUGAGUUCGAGAGAGGUGAGUGGAAUUGCGAGUGUAGAGGUGAAAUUCGUAGAUAUUCGCAGGAACACCAGUGGCGAAGGCGGCUCACUGGCUCGAUACUGACGCUGAGGUGCGAAAGUGUGGGGAGCAAACAGG